AUGUCGUCGCCACAGGCGAUCCAGAGCCCCAAGGCCGCCGUCGACUCGCUCGUCGCCAUCCUGGGCCGCGCGCUCCCGGACUCCCUCGCCGCGGCCGGCGACCCCGCGGCCGCGCUCCUCCACGACGACGGCGUCGCCCGCGCCGUCACGGGACGCCUCCGCGGCGCCGGCUCGGGCGCCGGCCAGGACGCCCUCUGCGGCUGGCUCUACGGCGCCUUCCAGUCCGGCCUCCCGGCGCUGCAGCUCGCAGUGCUGCGCUUCGUGCCGACGCUCGCGGGCGUGUACAUGUCCCGCGCCGUCUCCCGGAAGCCGCUCGCCGGGUUCGAGGCCGUGCUGCUCACGCUGUACGCGCACGCCGUGGCGCAGCGGGGGUCCGGGGAGGCCGAGACAGUGACGCUUCCCAACAUGAACAAGCCCAGCGUGUACCACGAGGCGAUCAAGCCUACGUCCGCGGCGCCGGCGGCCAAGCCGGGCAAGGCCGACGACCCCGACGUCGCCGAGCUCUCCCCCGCGCUGGAGCCGCACGGCACAAUGCGCGCCACGCGCCGCGGCCGCAUCGUCGGCGCGGUGCUGGAGCUCUACCACUCCAAGAUCGGGCUCAUGCCGCUCUCCUCCAAGAUGGACUUCUGCGAGUUCUGCGUCGCGUGGACGGGGAAGCACCGCAGCGACGACAAGGCCCGGAUCGCGUCCGCCGAGAGCGGCGAGGAGAAGUGGCGGAGGGUGCCUAUGCCGUGGGAGCUGUUCCAGCCGGCGCUCCGGAUCGUGGGGCAUUGCCUGCUGGGCCCGACCAACUCCGACCAGCUGAGGACGCAGGCCGCCCGGGCGUCGCAGUGCCUCUACCUGAGGGCCAUGGAGAUCAUGGACGCGCGCGCCGUGCUGGCCUGCAGGAGCCUCGUCAGGCUGUCGCAGAUGGUGGAGGAGCCGAUCCCGGAGCCGUCCUUCGCCGGCGUCGAGGCCAACAUGGCAGAGCUGGAGACCAUGAGGGCCAACAUCCUUAGCGGCAAGAAGUAA
This 1011-nucleotide ribosomal RNA is filed under the name Triticum aestivum (bread wheat). RNAcentral describes it as "partial small subunit ribosomal RNA". The record is from RNAcentral. Lineage: Eukaryota; Viridiplantae; Streptophyta; Magnoliopsida; Poales; Poaceae.